UCCCUGGUGGUCCCGUGGCUAAGACUCCAUGCUUGCAAUGUGGGGGCCCAGGUUCGAUUCCUGGUCAGGGAA
This is a non-coding RNA of Capra hircus (goat), 72 nucleotides long. Lineage: Eukaryota; Metazoa; Chordata; Mammalia; Artiodactyla; Bovidae. The record is from the annotation of a RefSeq genome assembly.